ACACUGUUCAUGGGUUACCGCGGCUGCUGGCACGGAGUUAGCCGGUGCUUCUUCUGUGAGUGAUGUCCUUCCUGCCGGCUAUUAACCCGCAGGCCUUCUUCCUCACUGAAAGUGCUUUACAACCCGAAGGCCUUCUUCACACACGCGGCAUGGCUGGAUCAGGGUUGCCCCCAUUGUCCAAUAUUCCCCACUGCUGCCUCCCGUAGGAGUCUGGGCCGUGUCUCAGUCCCACGUGUGGCUGAUCAUCCUCUCAGACCAGCUACGGAUCGUCGCCUUGGUGAGCCGUUACCUCACCAACCAGCUAAUCCGACAUAGGCUCAUCCGAUAGCGCGAGG
Molecule: ribosomal RNA, 335 nt
Filed under: uncultured bacterium
Lineage: Bacteria
Description: partial 16S ribosomal RNA
Source: RNAcentral